UUUGAGUUUGAUCCUGGCUCAGAUUGAACGCUGGCGGCAUGCCUUACACAUGCAAGUCGAACGGCAGCACGGGAGCAAUCCUGGUGGCGAGUGGCGAACGGGUGAGUAAUACAUCGGAACGUGUCCUGUAGUGGGGGAUAGCCCGGCGAAAGCCGGAUUAAUACCGCAUACGCUCUACGGAGGAAAGGGGGGGAUCUUCGGACCUCUCGCUACAGGGGCGGCCGAUGGCAGAUUAGCUAGUUGGUGGGGUAAAGGCCUACCAAGGCGACGAUCUGUAGCUGGUCUGAGAGGACGACCAGCCACACUGGGACUGAGACACGGCCCAGACUCCUACGGGAGGCAGCAGUGGGGAAUUUUGGACAAUGGGGGCAACCCUGAUCCAGCAAUGCCGCGUGUGUGAAGAAGGCCUUCGGGUUGUAAAGCACUUUUGUCCGGAAAGAAAACUUCGGCCCUAAUACGGCGGGAGGAUGACGGUACCGGAAGAAUAGCACCG
RNAcentral lists this ribosomal RNA (493 nucleotides) under bacterium PN313. RNAcentral's name for it is "bacterial SSU rRNA". It matches the Rfam family "Bacterial small subunit ribosomal RNA", at positions 1 to 495 of the family's 1533-position model. The record is from RNAcentral.